Molecule: ribosomal RNA, 223 nt
Filed under: uncultured bacterium
Lineage: Bacteria
Description: partial 16S ribosomal RNA
Rfam family: Bacterial small subunit ribosomal RNA
Source: RNAcentral
GAUGAACGCUGGCGGCGUGCUUAACACAUGCAAGUCGAACGAAGCGCCUUGGACAGAUUCUUCGGAUGAAGUUUUUGGUGACUGAGCGGCGGACGGGUGAGUAACGCGUGGGUAACCUGCCUCAUACAGGGGGAUAACAGUUAGAAAUGGCUGCUAAUACCGCAUAAGCGCACAGCAUCGCAUGAUGCCGUGUGAAAAACUCCGGUGGUAUGAGAUGGAACCC